AUGAUGUUCUUCCUUGUAUUAAUGUGUUGGAUUGGCAUUGCUGCUGGUGUUGAUGAAGAUGAUGAUGAUGAGAUUGAGUCGCGAACUGUGUCUGAAGGAGGAAACCUCACGAUCUCUGUUCACAUUGAGAAGUGGGACGAAGACCCUCAGGUUUUGGUGACCCGUCUCAGAGGCUCCUCACAGGAACCGAUAGCGCAGCUAUUGUGUCAUAACGGAGCCUGUGAACAGGAGUGCUGGAGAUCCGGAGUUUCUCUCACUUCUGAUGGACAGAAUAUAACUCUGAUCCUGAUGAACAUCAGCUACAGUCAAACGGGGCUUUACAAGGUCUGCAAACUGAGCAGACAACCGGGAUACAAGAUCUACAACCUUACAGUGUAUCAGCCUCCACUCAGCACCAUCAAUCCUGAUCAACCAGAAUCUGCUGUGUUCAGUCAAUUAUUAACUGCAGGCCUAAGCGCAGCUGCAGUCCUCACUUUACUGGUCAUUAUGUGCGCUGUUAUUGGUGUCAUUUAUAGGAAACGAGGAAGGAGGUGCCUCAGUCAACACUCACUAAGUGAUCAUGGAAGUUACUUAUAGUGACUGUAUUAUUGCAAGCUCAUCCAGUGCAGGACUAAGCUGAAUGAAAUGACAAGACGGGUCGGCUGUUAAUAAGAGGAACCACUGAGGAAUGUAACCACUGUGCUGACCCUGGGACACUGGUGCUGUUUUACCAAGAGAUCUCAAGUGACUGAGAGGCAGCUACUGACACAACAGCUGUUAAUUAUAACAUUGCUUAUCUAUCCUUGAACUCCACAAGACAUUAGGGUGUCCCGUUUGUCAUUUUAUAAUUUAAUAAUAAGUCUCCAAACACUGAAGAUUGUCCACCAGAUGGUGCCAAAGCUUUAGAAAUACUGUUUAAUCUAAGACUAUAGCAUCAGUAUGAAUGGCUAAAUAACUGUUUCUUGUAAUUGUAGCACCAUUGUACACUAAAAAUACCUCCUUUGUUUUAUCAAAUUAGUUUGCAAAGAAAAAGCACACUUAUAUCAUUUUGGCAUUUAAAUGGGUAGCUGAAUUAUUUAUUAGUUUUUAAGUGUUCAUACAGAUACUGUAGCGCUUAUCAUAGCUUUUAUGCACUCUAAGUAGUAAGCUCGGUAUUUUUUAUAUAUUAGAUUUUAGCAUUCAAUUUAGUUUAACAUAAGAGUCCUUUUGAAAAUCAGCUGGCGAUUUUGGGAUCAUGUGUGAUUUACUGAUUUGUUUAUUUAAACCCUAACUUACCAGUGGAGAUUCAAGAAAGUACUUUAUUUUUUUUUACUUAAUUAUUGAUAUAAGCUGUUGGUUUUGGACCAAGAUGGUUUUCGCACUUUUUUUUAGUUUAUUUGUUGUUCCUGUAUGAAUUGUGAGCAGCAUUAUACGAUUUUAUAUCGUCUGUGCAUUCUGUUGAUUAUUUGUAUUGUUUGUAUUUAUUUUAUUAUUUAAAAUAUAUUCCAGUGUUACUGAAGACUGUACAUUUUGUUAAUCUUCUCUGAAUAAAUAGAUUUACAACAGUGUAUUUCUUAAAAUC
Molecule: long non-coding RNA, 1540 nt
Organism: Cyprinus carpio (common carp)
Lineage: Eukaryota; Metazoa; Chordata; Actinopteri; Cypriniformes; Cyprinidae
Source: Ensembl